GCAUAUCAAUAAGCGGAGGAAAAGAAACCAACAGGGAUUGCCUCAGUAACGGCGAGUGAAGCGGCAACAGCUCAAAUUUGAAAUCUGGCCUCGGCCCGAGUUGUAAUUUGUAGAGGAAGCUUUUGGUGCGGCACCGACCGAGUCCCCUGGAACGGGGCGCCAUAGAGGGUGAUAGCCCCGUAUGGUUGGACGCCUAUCCUCUGUAAAGCUCCUUCGACGAGUCGAGUAGUUUGGGAAUGCUGCUCUAAAUGGGAGGUAGAUUCCUUCUAAAGCUAAAUACCGGCCAGAGACCGAUAGCGCACAAGUAGAGUGAUCGAAAGAUGAAAAGCACUUUGAAAAGAGGGUUAAAUAGCACGUGAAAUUGUUGAAAGGGAAGCGCCUGUGACCAGACUUGCGCCCCGUCGAUCAUCCGGGGUUCUCCCCGGUGCGCUCGGCGGGGCUCAGGCCAGCAUCGGUUCUCGCGGGGGGACAAAGGCUCCGGGAACGUAGCUCCUCCGGGAGUGUUAUAGCCCGGGGCGUAAUGCCCUCGCGGGGACCGAGGACCGCGCUUCGGCAAGGAUGCUGGCGUAAUGGUCACCGGCGACCCGUCUUGAAACACGGACCAAGGAGUCAAGGUUUUGCGCGAGUGUCUGGGUGUAAAACCCGCACGCGUAAUGAAAGUGAACGUAGGUGAGAGCUUCGGCGCAUCAUCGACCGAUCCUGAUGUAUUCGGAUGGAUUUGAGUAGGAGCGUUAAGCCUUGGACCCGAAAGAUGGUGAACUAUGCUUGGAUAGGGUGAAGCCAGAGGAAACUCUGGUGGAGGCUCGCAGCGGUUCUGACGUGCAAAUCGAUCGUCAAAUCUGAGCAUGGGGGCGAAAGACUAA
RNAcentral lists this ribosomal RNA (863 nucleotides) under Podospora pauciseta. RNAcentral describes it as "partial large subunit ribosomal RNA". It matches the Rfam family "Eukaryotic large subunit ribosomal RNA", at positions 38 to 934 of the family's 3401-position model. Lineage: Eukaryota; Fungi; Ascomycota; Sordariomycetes; Sordariales; Podosporaceae. The record is from RNAcentral.